This 253-nucleotide ribosomal RNA is filed under the name uncultured bacterium. RNAcentral's name for it is "partial 16S ribosomal RNA". It matches the Rfam family "Bacterial small subunit ribosomal RNA", at positions 524 to 776 of the family's 1533-position model. The record is from RNAcentral.
UACGUAGGGGGCUAGCGUUGUCCGGAAUCAUUGGGCGUAAAGCGCGUGUAGGCGGCUCGGUAAGUCCGCUGUGAAAGUCGGGGGCUCAACCCUCGGAUGCCGGUGGAUACUGUCGGGCUAGAGUACGGAAGAGGCGAGUGGAAUUCCUGGUGUAGCGGUGAAAUGCGCAGAUAUCUGCAGGAACACCCGUGGCGAAGGCGGAUCUCUGGGCCUUACCUGACGCUCAGGCACGAAAGCUAGGGGAGCGAACAGG